AGGGUUUGAUUCUGGCUCAGGAUGAACGCUGGCGGCGUGCUUAACACAUGCAAGUCGAACGAACCUUCGGGUUAGUGGCGGACGGGUGAGUAACGCGUGAGAAUCUGCCCUCAGGAGGGGGAUAACGGUUGGAAACGACCGCUAAUACCCCAUAUGCCUACUGGUGAAACGAAUUUCGCCUGAGGAUGAGCUCGCGUCUGAUUAGCUAGUUGGUGAGGUAAUGGCUCACCAAGGCUUCGAUCAGUAGCUGGUCUGAGAGGAUGAUCAGCCACACUGGGAAUGAGACACGCCCCAGACUCUUACGGGAGGCAGCAGUGGGGAAUUUUCCGCAAUGGGCGAAAGCCUGACGGAGCAACGCCGCGUGAGGGACGAAGGCCUCUGGGCUGUAAACCUCUCUUCUCAAGGAAGAAGAUAUGACGGUACUUGAGGAAUAAGCCACGGCUAAUUCCG
RNAcentral lists this ribosomal RNA (450 nucleotides) under uncultured bacterium. RNAcentral describes it as "bacterial SSU rRNA". It matches the Rfam family "Bacterial small subunit ribosomal RNA", at positions 8 to 505 of the family's 1533-position model. The record is from RNAcentral.